This 79-nucleotide transfer RNA is filed under the name Bos taurus (domestic cattle). RNAcentral also lists the same sequence under 3 other names. Lineage: Eukaryota; Metazoa; Chordata; Mammalia; Artiodactyla; Bovidae. The record is from Rfam by way of RNAcentral.
AGAAAUACGUCUGGUAAAAGUUACUUUGAUAGAGUAACUCUAAGUUACUUUAAUAGAGGUUCAAAUCCUUUUAUUUCUA